CGCUGGCGGCAUGCCUAACACAUGCAAGUCGAACGGGGGUAGCAAUACCCUAGUGGCGAACGGGUGAGUAACACAUAAGCAAUCUGCCCUUCACAGGGGGAUAACAGCGGGAAACUGCUGCUAAUACCGCAUAAGACCACGGUACCGCAUGGUACAGGGGUAAAAACGAAUCAGUGGUGAAGGAUGAGCUUAUGUCCCAUUAGCUAGUUGGUGAGAUAACAGCCCACCAAGGCGACGAUGGGUAGCCGACCUGAGAGGGUGAUCGGCCACACUGGAACUGAGACACGGUCCAGACUCCUACGGGAGGCAGCAGUGGGGAAUAUUGGGCAAUGGAGGAAACUCCUUACCCAGCAAUGCCGCGUGAGUGAAGAAGGUCUUCGGAUUGUAAAGCUCUUUGAUUGGGGACGAAUAAAUGACGGUACCCAAAGAACAAGCCCCGGCUAACUAUGUGCCAGCCGCAGC
Molecule: ribosomal RNA, 462 nt
Filed under: uncultured bacterium
Lineage: Bacteria
Description: bacterial SSU rRNA
Rfam family: Bacterial small subunit ribosomal RNA
Source: RNAcentral